Molecule: ribosomal RNA, 301 nt
Filed under: uncultured bacterium
Lineage: Bacteria
Description: partial 16S ribosomal RNA
Rfam family: Bacterial small subunit ribosomal RNA
Source: RNAcentral
CAGUCGCCACGGUAAUACGUAGGUGGCAAGCGUUGUCCGGAAUUAUUGGGCGUAAAGCGCGCGCAGGUGGUUUAAUAAGUCUGAUGUGAAAGCCCACGGCUCAACCAUGGAGGGUCAUUGGAAACUGUUAAACUUGAGUGCAGAAGAGGAGAGUGGAAUUCCACGUGUAGCGGUGAAAUGCGUAGAUAUGCGGAGGAGCACCGAUGGCGAAGGCAAUCCCCUGGGCCUGCACUGACGCUCAUGCACGAAAGCGUGGGGAGCAAACAGGAUUAGAUACCCGCGUAGUCCCUGUCUCUUAUAC